AGGUCUAAACCGUCGGAUUUCCUCCAUCUCCACACCGGUGCGACUUCAGUCGUCCGAGACCGACAUGGCCACCACGGCCGCCGCCGCCGACGCCGCCGUCCCAGGCGCUAUUCCAGCCCCCGCGCCCGCGGCCCCGUCCGCGCAACCGCAUCCCGUUCCAGACAAAUGUACGAAUUAUAAAAAUCAUUUGCAAGAGUGGACUCAAAGGAAUUAUCAGAAGUUGCCAGCUUAUGAUACCGAGUCGAAAGGUGAAGGUCAUCGACUUGAGUUCAGAAGCACCGUUGAGGCGGACGGCAAGCUGUUUCAAUCAGCUUGCACUCAUAGCCGCCGCAAGGAUGCAGAGCAGGACGCUGCCAGAGUUGCCUAUGAAAUCUUGUUGGAAAAGACAAUAGAUGAUGAUGAUCAUAGAGACGCGCUUGGGCUGAUUGAUCAGAAUGUGAUGUUCUGCAAAUCAAUUCUCCAUGAAUUUGCUGCUAAGACAAAAGUUGGUCAGCCCACUUACUCUGCAGAUCAUCCAGAAGGGUCAUUACCCAUGCCCCUGUUUGUUUCAUCUGUGUUGUUUGCUGGGAACACAUAUACUGGUGAAGCUGCGAUAAGUAAGAAGGAGGCAGAGCAGAAGGCUGCUCGUGCUGCAGUCAAAUCUAUUUUAGCUACAAAGAACACUUGUAUGCAUCAAAUUAUUAUGUCAAAGAAAGAGCUGAUAAUUGCCAUCACAUCUUGUGGGUUCAGCAAAGAAAGAGGAUUUGAAAGCCAGGAAAACUGCAAUGCUCCAACAAAUGCCAUUACUACUGUCGCUCCUAUAAAAUUCGUGCGUGCUGGUGAAGCUGCUGGCCUAACUGCUGAUCAAGGAGCGAACAUCUUUCCUGAAGCUGACCCAUGUUCACAAGCUGUAUCUGGCUUGGAAAAGCACAAGAAGCACAGAAAGGUUUGACAAGAAGACUCACCCGUGGCAACAUGAGCCCAUUUCUGCAGCAGUUCUCACCAAACACCACUCACUAUCACAAUUGGAUCACAUGAAAGGAAAACAUCGAUGAAAGGUUCGAAGAGGUUGACGUAGGGUUUUGUCGUCUAUGGUGGUGGAACUGAAGGGAUUUUUGGUUAUAUGGCGCUGUGCAUGACAUUCUUUUGGAUCGCCGUUAUAUGAUGCUUGGUUGGAAUGACGUUGGCUAAGGCAUCCACACUCCAUAUGUUUCCGUAAUUAGCUGAGCUCGGUGUCAGGAACUCAGGUUUCUAUCGAAGUAGCUUCGCUCUGUGUCCGGAACUCUGGAUCUCUGUGAUUUAACUUGUGGUUCGUCGAACCGUUUCCAACCCGUGUUUGUGUCAGAUCUCUUGAGUAGGUGUUCGGUUCGAGCAAUAUUACCCAUCAUCCGAUUACUGUGUCAA
RNA transcript from Hordeum vulgare subsp. vulgare (domesticated barley), 1383 nucleotides. It is a transcript of the gene named double-stranded RNA-binding protein 4-like, with no coding region annotated. Lineage: Eukaryota; Viridiplantae; Streptophyta; Magnoliopsida; Poales; Poaceae. The record is from RefSeq and is a predicted model, not a curated record. The transcript has 6 exons.